AGAGAGCAGCGGGGACGGAGCGGCAGAGCGCAGUCCUCUCCACUCUUUCAUACUAACACCAGAUACUAUGCUUAUCGCUUCGGGUGGCUCGCACUAGAACACAAGGGCAGCUGAACCGCCACGAGCCCAUGACUUUGGUUUGGCCUGCUAGUGAGUAGGAGCUCUAUGUGGAUCAGGAGUUGAAGAAGGAGCACCCCAGACUAGUGGUGAGCUAGUCGCACCACCCUCAGCUCCACGCAGCGUCUCCCCCUCCCACCUCCCUCUUACUCAGCCUAAUCCCGUCUUCCUCUGCCUCACCCUUUCCUCCCGCUCCUUGUGGGCGACACACACA
Long non-coding RNA from Centropristis striata (black sea bass), 331 nucleotides. RefSeq lists it as uncharacterized. Lineage: Eukaryota; Metazoa; Chordata; Actinopteri; Perciformes; Serranidae. The transcript has 4 exons. The record is from RefSeq and is a predicted model, not a curated record.